ACGGAAGGCAGCAGUGGGGAAUAUUGCACAAUGGGGGAAACCCUGAUGCAGCGACGCCGCGUGAGUGAAGAAGUUAUUCGUAAUGUAAAGCUCUAUCAGCAGGGAAGAAAAUGACGGUACCUGACUGAGAAGCCCCGGCUAACUACGUGCCAGCAGCCGCGGUAAUACGUAGGGGGCAAGCGUUAUCCGGAUUUACUGGGUGUAAAGGGAGCGUAGACGGCUUAGCAAGUCUGAUGUGAAAGGCAGGGGCUCAACUCCUGGACUGCAUUGGAAACUGUUAAGCUAGAGUGCCGGAGAGGUAAGCGGAAUUCCUAGUGUAGCGGUGAAAUGCGUAGAUAUUAGGAGGAACACCAGUGGCGAAGGCGGCUUACUGGACGGUAACUGACGUUGAGGCUCGAAAGCGUGGGGAGCAAACAGGAUUAGAUACCCUGGUA
Molecule: ribosomal RNA, 434 nt
Filed under: uncultured Lachnospiraceae bacterium
Lineage: Bacteria; Bacillati; Bacillota; Clostridia; Lachnospirales; Lachnospiraceae
Description: partial 16S ribosomal RNA
Rfam family: Bacterial small subunit ribosomal RNA
Source: RNAcentral